UACGGAGGACGCGAGCGUUAUCCGGAUUCAUUGGGUUUAAAGGGUGCGCAGGCGGCUCGUCAAGUCAGCGGUGAAAGCCCGGGGCCCAACCCCGGAAGUGCCGUUGAUACUGUCGGGCUGGAAUGCGGUCGGGGCGGGCGGAACGUGGCGUGUAGCGGUGAAAUGCGUAGAUAUGCCACAGAACGCCGUUGGCGGAGGCGGCUCGCCAGGCCUGCAUUGACGCUCGGGCACGAAAGCGUGGGGAUCGAAC
Molecule: ribosomal RNA, 250 nt
Filed under: uncultured prokaryote
Description: partial 16S ribosomal RNA
Rfam family: Bacterial small subunit ribosomal RNA
Source: RNAcentral